AGUGAACGCUGGCGGUAGGCCUAACACAUGCAAGUCGAACGGCAGCACAGUAAGAGCUUGCUCUUGCGGGUGGCGAGUGGCGGACGGGUGAGGAAUACAUCGGAAUCUACUUUUUCGUGGGGGAUAACGUAGGGAAACUUACGCUAAUACCGCAUACGACCUACGGGUGAAAGCAGGGGAUCUUCGGACCUUGCGCGAUUGAAUGAGCCGAUGUCGGAUUAGCUAGUUGGCGGGGUAAAGGCCCACCAAGGCGACGAUCCGUAGCUGGUCUGAGAGGAUGAUCAGCCACACUGGAACUGAGACACGGUCCAGACUCCUACGGGAGGCAGCAGUGGGGAAUAUUGGACAAUGGGCGCAAGCCUGAUCCAGCCAUACCGCGUGGGUGAAGAAGGCCUUCGGGUUGUAAAGCCCUUUUGUUGGGAAAGAAAAGCAGCAGGUUAAUACCCCGCUGUUCUGACGGUACCCAAAGAAUAAGCACCGGCUAACCUCGUG
This 492-nucleotide ribosomal RNA is filed under the name uncultured bacterium. Its description in RNAcentral is "partial 16S ribosomal RNA". It matches the Rfam family "Bacterial small subunit ribosomal RNA", at positions 29 to 507 of the family's 1533-position model. The record is from RNAcentral.